CAAAACAUGUCCUUUAGAAUUUAAUUUAAGGUCUGACCUGCCCACUGAAUUAAAUGGCCGCAGUAUUUUAACUGUGCAAAGGUAGCAUAAUCAUUAGUCUUUUAAUUGAAGGCUUGUAUGAAUGGUUGGACGAAAUAUUAACUGUUUCAUAAAAAUUUAAUUAGAAUUUUAUUUUUUAGUUAAAAAGCUAAAAUAAUUUUAAAAGACGAGAAGACCCUAUAGAUCUUUAUAUUUUGUAUAUUAUAGUUAUUUAGAUUAUUUAAAUUAUGAUUAUAUAAAGUAUUUUGUUGGGGUGACAUUAAAAUUUAAUUAACUUUUAAUUUAUUUUUACAUUGAUGUAUGAUUAAUUGAUCCAUUAUUAGUGAUUAAAAAAUUAAGUUACCUUAGGGAUAACAGCGUAAUUUUUUUGAAGAGUUCAUAUCGAUAAAAAAGAUUGCGACCUCGAUGUUGGAUUAAGAUAUAAUUUUGGGUGCAGCAAUUCAAUUAUUAAGUCUGUUCGACUUUUAAUUUCUUACAUGA
This 519-nucleotide ribosomal RNA is filed under the name Anabarhynchus occidentalis. RNAcentral's name for it is "partial 16S ribosomal RNA". It matches the Rfam family "Bacterial large subunit ribosomal RNA", at positions 1809 to 2603 of the family's 2925-position model. The record is from RNAcentral. Lineage: Eukaryota; Metazoa; Arthropoda; Insecta; Diptera; Therevidae.